Molecule: ribosomal RNA, 468 nt
Filed under: uncultured bacterium
Lineage: Bacteria
Description: partial 16S ribosomal RNA
Rfam family: Bacterial small subunit ribosomal RNA
Source: RNAcentral
GACGAACGCUGGCGGCGUGCUUAACACAUGCAAGUCGAACGGAAAGGCCCUGCUUUUGUGGGGUGCUCGAGUGGCGAACGGGUGAGUAACACGUGAGUAACCUGCCCUUGACUUUGGGAUAACUUCAGGAAACUGGGGCUAAUACCGGAUAGGAGCUCCUGCUGCAUGGUGGGGGUUGGAAAGUUUCGGCGGUUGUGGAUGGACUCGCGGCUUAUCAGCUUGUUGGUGGGGUAGUGGCUUACCAAGGCUUUGACGGGUAGCCGGCCUGAGAGGGUGACCGGCCACAUUGGGACUGAGAUACGGCCCAGACUCCUACGGGAGGCAGCAGUGGGGAAUAUUGCACAAUGGGCGGAAGCCUGAUGCAGAAACGCCGCGUGCGGGAUGACGGCCUUUGGGUUGUAAACCGCUUUCGACUGUGACGAAGCGUGAGUGACGGUAAUGGGUAAAGAAGCACCGGCUAACUACGUG